RNAcentral lists this ribosomal RNA (453 nucleotides) under uncultured Bacteroides sp. RNAcentral's name for it is "partial 16S ribosomal RNA". It matches the Rfam family "Bacterial small subunit ribosomal RNA", at positions 341 to 792 of the family's 1533-position model. Lineage: Bacteria; Pseudomonadati; Bacteroidota; Bacteroidia; Bacteroidales; Bacteroidaceae. The record is from RNAcentral.
ACGGGAGGCAGCAGUGAGGAAUAUUGGUCAAUGGUCGGAAGACUGAACCAGCCAAGUAGCGUGAAGGAUGACUGCCCUAUGGGUUGUAAACUUCUUUUAUGCGGGAAUAAAAAGGAUUACGUGUAGUCUGUUGCAUGUACCGCAUGAAUAAGGAUCGGCUAAUUCCGUGCCAGCAGCCGCGGUAAUACGGAAGAUCCGAGCGUUAUCCGGAUUUAUUGGGUUUAAAGGGAGCGUAGGCGGGCCUUUAAGUCAGUGGUCAAAGCGUGUGGCUCAACCAUACCACGCCGUUGAUACUGGAGGCCUUGAGUGCACAUAAGGAUGGUGGAAUUCAUGGUGUAGCGGUGAAAUGCUUAGAUAUGACGAAGAACACCGAUUGCGUAGGCAGCAGACCAGGCCGUAAAUGACGCUCAUGCACGAAAGUGCGGGGAUCGAACAGGAUUAGAUACCCUGGUA